This is a long non-coding RNA of Aricia agestis (brown argus), 211 nucleotides long. RefSeq lists it as uncharacterized. The record is from RefSeq and is a predicted model, not a curated record. NCBI's taxonomy places the organism in Eukaryota, Metazoa, Arthropoda, Insecta, Lepidoptera, Lycaenidae. The transcript is spliced from 3 exons.
CCGCUCCACAUUCUCGGCAAAACUACUCGAGACUUGCCGAAUACGAGAGUGUGGAGAGCAUAUUCGUCUAUAUUCGUAUUGUCUCGUGCAGUCUCCAUCCCGUGUCGGUAUUUCGUAUCCGAAUCAAAGGGCUCUCGUGUAGUUUUGCCGAAACACAAAACACUCCCUCCACAAGUCCACAUUCCCGCCGCCUAUUAAAUUAUAUUAAAAU